GGAAUAUUGGACAAUGGGGGCAACCCUGAUCCAGCCAUGCCGCGUGUGUGAAGAAGGCCCUCGGGUUGUAAAGCACUUUCAGCGAGGAAGAACGCCUAUCGUUUAAUACCCGGCAGGAAAGACAUCACUCGCAGAAGAAGCACCGGCUAACUCCGUGCCCGCAGCCGCGGUAAUACGGAGGGUGCAAGCGUUAAUCGGAAUUACUGGGCGUAAAGCGCGCGUAGGUGGCUUGAUAAGCCGGUUGUGAAAGCCCCGGGCUCAACCUGGGAACGGCAUCCGGAACUGUCAGGCUAGAGUGCAGGAGAGGAAGGUAGAAUUCCCGGUGUAGCGGUGAAAUGCGCAGAGAUCGGGAGGAAUACCAGUGGCGAAGGCGGCCUUCUGGACUGACACUGACACUGAGGUGCGAAAGCGUGGGUAGCAAAC
Molecule: ribosomal RNA, 423 nt
Filed under: uncultured bacterium
Lineage: Bacteria
Description: bacterial SSU rRNA
Rfam family: Bacterial small subunit ribosomal RNA
Source: RNAcentral